UCUAUUUUCUAAAAUAAGUUUUCAAUCUUCUCUACCUAGCCUGUUUUCUCUUCAGGUCGAUGUCUCCCCUUUUUCCUAAAAAGCUUUCUAUUCUCCACCAUUUUUCGUGAAUACUCUGACCAAUCUAUAGUGUAUAAAAUUGUUGCUCCCUAUUCUGCUCUAAUUCUGGUCGUUACCAACUCCAGUUCAUUACCCCUCAAGCAACAAUCUUUGAAUUUCAAAUCUCAAGAUCCCUAAUUCCACACUGUGAAUGCUUUCUCUUUUAGCCAUUGUGGGAAGAAGUUUUUUCUUGCUAAAAAAUUACUUCAUAGCUAGUACUUUCUAAUCUUUAAUAUUGUUCUGUUUUGUUCACUUUGGGUCUCGCUUGGACUUUGAGUAUGGAUAUUCCCAAGUUUGAGCGUAGAUCCUUGGACUGAAAUGCUUCAUCUCACUGCUUCCCAAAAGGUUAGUGCAUUUUUUUAGUGUGUUUUCUCUCCACCGAUGUGUUAGCUCAAAAAUAUUAACAAGUCGCAAGCUAUGUUGAAUCCUGGAAAACAGAAAUUUUCAGAACAUAUUAUUGGUCUAAUAUAUGUAGACUUUCCUACGAAAUCCAUUUCCAGUUCAUAGCAACAAGUGUAAAAUUUAUUUAUUUAAUAUAAUGUUUAAACAAGACCUGUAUGGUUGUAUUCAUGUUUUAACUAGAUUAAUAAAUGUUAUUAGUAUGUUCACAUACUCAUUAUUGGCUGUGUAUUCCACUGGUAUAUGUGUAAGAAUAGGCUAGCUAGCAGAUGGAUUAGAACGUUUGUUAAUAUUUUACAAGAUAUGUCAUUUAGUUCAUUUCUAAAUCUUAAUAUAUUAGAGUUGUCUUUAUUUAAUUUAACAUGUUAUUUAAAAAAUUUAUUUGCUAUUUCCCAAAGUAUAUUGUUUGGUAAAAUAUAUGUUUAAGCCUUUUGUGUUCUUUGCUAUAUGACCGGUAGAAAAUACCCCAAUAGCUUCUAGUUUGAUUGCGUGAAUCUAAAAAUUUUCCUCCAUGCGCAUCUCAGAAUUUCAAUAUUUCUUGUGUAUGUUGUCGGUUGAAAUAUAUAACUAUCUUCACUACUAAUUUUUUACUUUUCUUUAUUUUACAUGUACUCUCGGGAGCUUAUUUGGUGUCUCAUGGCUUACUCUAUCUCUGUGCAAAUCAGGGAAGCAAACAAAUAUCGGAUUACAUAUUUUCGACUAGCAGUCUAGUGUCUCCUUCGUGUUUUUCAAGUUUUAUUCUUCUUCUGUAGACACUUAUUGUUAUUUUUAUUUAAUAUUUCGCACAUUAUUAUUUUGAAUUUGUGUUUUUGUACGUUUUUUAUUUGAAUCAGAGUAAAUAUUUAAUUAUGGUAGC
RNAcentral lists this long non-coding RNA (1354 nucleotides) under Capsicum annuum. Its description in RNAcentral is "long non-coding RNA (CANN_LNC005416)". Lineage: Eukaryota; Viridiplantae; Streptophyta; Magnoliopsida; Solanales; Solanaceae. The record is from RNAcentral.